This 253-nucleotide ribosomal RNA is filed under the name uncultured bacterium. RNAcentral describes it as "partial 16S ribosomal RNA". It matches the Rfam family "Bacterial small subunit ribosomal RNA", at positions 524 to 776 of the family's 1533-position model. The record is from RNAcentral.
UACAGAGGGAGCUAGCGUUGUUCGGAAUUACUGGGCGUAAAGCGCACGUAGGCGGCUUUUUAAGUCAGGGGUGAAAUCCCGGAGCUCAACUCCGGAACUGCCCUUGAAACUGGGAAGCUAGAAUCUUGGAGAGGCGAGUGGAAUUCCGAGUGUAGAGGUGAAAUUCGUAGAUAUUCGGAAGAACACCAGUGGCGAAGGCGACUCGCUGGACAAGUAUUGACGCUCAUGCACGAAAGCGUGGGGAGCAAACAGG